GACGAACGCUGGCGGCGUGCUUAACACAUGCAAGUCGAACGGAAAGGCCCUGCUUUCGUGGGGUGCUCGAGUGGCGAACGGGUGAGUAACACGUGAGUAACCUGCCCUUGACUUUGGGAUAACUUCAGGCAACUGGGGCUAAUACCGGAUAGGAGCUCCUGCUGCAUGGUGGGGGUUGGAAAGUUUCGGCGGUUGGGGAUGGACUCUCGGCUUAUCAGCUUGUUGGUGGGGGAUUGGCAUACCAAGGCUUUGGUGGGUAGCCCGCCUGAGAGGGUGGCCGGCCACAAGAGGACUAAGAUACGGCCCAGACUCCUACGGUAGGCAGCAGGCGAGAACAUGACACAGUGAGCGGAAGUCUGAGGCAACGACGCCGCGAGCGUGAUGACGGCCUUCGUGUGAGGAACCGCUGUCGCCUGAGACGAAGCGGGAUUGACGUUAAUAGGAAAAGAAGCACCGGCUAACUACGUG
RNAcentral lists this ribosomal RNA (468 nucleotides) under uncultured bacterium. Its description in RNAcentral is "partial 16S ribosomal RNA". It matches the Rfam family "Bacterial small subunit ribosomal RNA", at positions 28 to 507 of the family's 1533-position model. The record is from RNAcentral.